AACGAACGCUGGCGGCAUGCCUAACACAUGCAAGUCGAACGAGACCUUCGGGUCUAGUGGCGCACGGGUGCGUAACGCGUGGGAACCUGCCCUUAGGUUCGGAAUAACUCCCCGAAAGGGGUGCUAAUACCGGAUAAUGUCUUCGGAUCAAAGAUUUAGCGCCUUUGGAUGGGCCCGCGUUGGAUUAGCUAGUUGGUAGGGUAAAAGCCUACCAAGGCGACGAUCCAUAGCUGGUCUGAGAGGAUGCUCAGCCACACUGGGACUGAGACACGGCCCAGACUCAUACGGGAGGCAGCAGUAGGGAAUAUUGGACAAUGGGCGAAAGCCUGAUCCAGCAAUGCCGCGUGAAUGAUGAAGGCCGUAGGGUUGUAAAGCUCUUUUACCCGGGAUGAGAAUGACAGUACCGGGAGGAUAAGCUCCGGCUAACUCCGUG
RNAcentral lists this ribosomal RNA (433 nucleotides) under uncultured bacterium. RNAcentral's name for it is "partial 16S ribosomal RNA". It matches the Rfam family "Bacterial small subunit ribosomal RNA", at positions 29 to 507 of the family's 1533-position model. The record is from RNAcentral.